Small nuclear RNA from Pteropus vampyrus (large flying fox), 188 nucleotides. Its record names the gene U2. It matches the Rfam family "U2 spliceosomal RNA". Rfam says of the family: U2 is a small nuclear RNA (snRNA) component of the spliceosome (involved in pre-mRNA splicing). Complementary binding between U2 snRNA (in an area lying towards the 5' end but 3' to hairpin I) and the branchpoint sequence (BPS) of the intron results the bulging out of an unpaired adenosine, on the BPS, which initiates a nucleophilic attack at the intronic 5' splice site, thus starting the first of two transesterification reactions that mediate splicing. The record is from Ensembl. Lineage: Eukaryota; Metazoa; Chordata; Mammalia; Chiroptera; Pteropodidae.
AUCUCUUCUUGGCCUUUUGGCUAAGAUCAUGUGUAGUAUCUGUUCUUAUCAGUUUAAUAAAAAAUAAAAUAGCCAGAUAGAGAAGAUGAGUACAUACAUUAAAUUUAGUUUGGUUCAAUAAAAAAAGUCCUUUUGUUUAAGUGGUUUUUGUAUGGAUUUACAAUUUUCUACACGAUAUCCCACUCCCA